Molecule: ribosomal RNA, 204 nt
Filed under: Triticum aestivum (bread wheat)
Lineage: Eukaryota; Viridiplantae; Streptophyta; Magnoliopsida; Poales; Poaceae
Description: partial small subunit ribosomal RNA
Source: RNAcentral
UCUGGAACUGCUGGGGGGGGGGGGAACCGCCGGACAGUUCGUGAGGUUUUGGCCCUCUCAAAAGCCAACAACCCCAAGCUAGUUUUCCUUUGUGAAACUAGGCAAGUAUCAGUUAAAGUGGAGAAGUUGUGUUGGAGACUCGGUCUGAAAGGAUUUCAUGGCGUGGAUAAUGAUGGUAGAAGUGGUGGCUUGGCUCUUUUCUAG